Orcinus orca (killer whale) is the source of this 5762-nucleotide long non-coding RNA. RefSeq lists it as uncharacterized. NCBI's taxonomy places the organism in Eukaryota, Metazoa, Chordata, Mammalia, Artiodactyla, Delphinidae. The record is from RefSeq and is a predicted model, not a curated record. The transcript has 3 exons.
GGCAUCCGGAGAUGACGGAAGAACCUCAGCUACUUGUGACCUGGUUUGAAUUACAAAGGUACAACGCCAGGCUGGUGCCCCCUCCCCCGCAUCCUCUCUCUGUCCUGUCCCUCCUACUCCUCCCCAUCUCCCACCUCCCACUCCCCAACCCCUCGGAAAUAAGAUCUAUAAGAGUGGUCACACAGGAAUAAAGACGCAGAUGUAGAGAAUGGACUUGAGGACACGGGGAGCGAGAAGGAUAAAUAAGAAUGAUUCCCAAGAGGGUGCUGUCUCCAGGGUGAUGGACUUCACUUUCAGAAAGGGGACUGCCACUUGCACAGAAGGUUGACCUAGAAGCUGGGCUGGAGGCAGAGAAGAGCACUACCCGGAACUGUGCAGACUGGCAUCGCAUCCUGCUCCUGCUAUGAUAUAGCUCCGCGGGUCUCUUCGGGCAGGUCACUUUACCCGCCAGGGCCUCAGUUCCUCCAGUAGCAAGUGAAGGCAUUGGACUAGAUCAGUGGUUCUCAGCCAUGGUUGGGAUGAGGAGGGAUUAGUUUUCAACGACGCAACUCCCAUUGCACAACACAAGAUAACACUUUGCUUCUCCAAGUGUCCUCGGAUUGCCAGCAUCUGCGUUAUCUGGGAGCUUGUUAAAAAUGCAGAAUCUCAGGCCCCACCUCAAACCUACUGAAUAGGAAUCUGCAUGUUAACAAGACCCCCAGGUGUAAAGUUUGAGAAGCGCUGCUCUACUGCACCCGCAAGGGACAUAAUUCGGUGGGAUGUUGGGGAGUGAAGUGGAACAUCUGGAAAAACUCCAUGAGUGACUCUGAUAUGCCCUCUACCGGGUGGGAGCAACUGGACUAUUUGGCGCCUGAGAUUCUUUUCAAACCUACACUGCUCAGGUGCUGAGCAGCCAGACUCGCAAGGAUUAAUGGGAGGUGAAGGCUGCUUCCGGUGUGAUGUAUGGAGUGGGGGUCGGGAGGUUGCCAUUGGACGUCAUUCCAGAAGCAAACAUCAAGACUGUGUGGUGAUAAACGUGAGUCCCCGAGGUGGCUGACCUGAAAGCCGGUUCACAUCCUGCACUUCCCCAGCUGCCCGCUGGGGGGCAGGACAGCACAGUCCCAGGCUGCAGUCCCCAGGCUGCAGGUUCCUCGGUCACUUUCCCAUUCCUGACUUCACUCACCCACCGUAGAGGGAUUCUAUUCCCACUUCCCAGGAGAGGACAGGGUGACUCAGAGACGUUGCCCAGAGGGCCAGCCCAGGUGUUUUGACUUCCCAAACUCCCUCUCAGCCCCUCCAGGACUGUCCUGCCAGGGGUGCCAGAACUGAGGGGUCGGAGGUGGCCUGGGGGGGGGGUUGUGGCUGCAGCCAGGCAGCAUUGCCGUCAGAGUGAGCAAGUGAGCGUCAGGGCCCCACCAAAGGCCCCCGAUAAGAACGCAGGUCAGGGCUUCCCUGGUGGCGCAGUGGUUGAGAGUCCACCUGCCGAUGCAGGGGACGCGGGUUCGUGCCCCGAUCCAGCAAGAUCCCACAUGCCGCGGAGCGGCUGGACCCGUGAGCCAUGGCUGCUGAGCCUGCGCGUCCGGAGCCUGUGCUCCGCAACGGGAGAGGCCACAGCAGUGAGAGACAGAAGGAUCUGCGAGGGGAGGAGGGGCAGUCCCAGCCCUGCCCAGACAGGCCCAGCCGGCCCCACAGCUGCCCUCCUGUCCCUGGGGGCAGCAAUGGGGGAGAGCAGGAGAGGACUCGCCAGGCUCCUGGGGUCUAAGUCCCCCAGACCCAGGAAGACAAAAGCGGAGCCCCAGGGAGUGGGGUGGACCUGAGAGUCCCCGUAACACGCCUGUCCCUCCUCCACCCAGGCAGACAGAAACAAACAUUUGGCCCCCUCAAGUGGUCUGCUUUCCUCUGUAACCCCUAAACCAUUCGGAUGCCCCCAUUUAAGAAACUUUGUGACCCCAGACUCUCCCAAACAAGUGGUGGAAUGGGCCAGCCUGGGUACCAUAUUUGGCUCUGAGAAACUGGGUUAGGGUUAGAGUGGGGGGAAACAGGAAUCCCACUGGGGUAGAUGAUAAUUUUGGCCAAGAUGUAGGAUGGAGAGGUGAAGGAACGUAAUACCCUACUCUGCCCCCUUGGAGCCAAAAACUGACCCUGUCAACUUUCCCAGGUUCGGGGCUCUGGAGCCAUGAGGCGUUUACUCAUCUGACAUGUGUUAGGCACCAACUGCGCACCAGGCGUUUGAGCAGCCUGGGAAAGUGUGCAUAUCCGGGGGUUCCCGAUGGGUCCAGUGAGGAAAUUCUGUGCACACCGUGGUUGCAUAACUGUGGCAGGUCUCUAGCUGGGAGUUGCACUAGGAACCUUUCCCUCAUGCUUUUCAGCUGGGUGGGAGCCCAUCAGGUAUCUUGGCUGCCUUUCAUCACCUUGUCCCUGAUAGGGAUCAUCCUGGGUGAAGAAAUCGCUGUCAGUCACCCCCACCUCUCUCAGAGCCAGAAGGCCUGAUUGACAGGCACACACCCACGGGGGUGGGGUGAGGGGGCCAAGGGGCUGGCCAUCUGUGGGAAGGCAGGGAACCGGCAUUCUUGGCAGGGGAGGCGAAAGAGGGGGCUUCCAUGUGGAAGAGGAAGGAAAUAUCUAGAACCUUUUCAUCUCCACAGGAGAAGACCAGGGAGGGACAGUCAGCCCAGCUACCAACCCUGAGGGAGCGCCACCCUCCUUCUGCAUCAACAACCUCCGGGCAGGAUCAGACCCUUCAAUCAGCUCAGCUCUGCCCCCAAACAAAGGGAGGUGAGGCUGCCCAGGGCUGCAGGAUCAAAGAGAAGUGUCCACCCCACCCUGCAGCCAGCCUGGUCCUUGCUGCUGAGACACCAUGAGUCAAAAAGGAAACCAGAGCUGGAAGACAAAUGAAGCAGUGAUGUGUUUGAUGACUUUAUUAUGGCAUAAAAAACACAGGCUGUUUCUUCCUCCUCUUCCCCCCCAAAAUGGGUUCACAGCACUUAAAGAAAAAAAAAUCCUACAUUUCUCCUCUAGGGGGCUGCCUAGAAGGGGGCAGACAGCCAAGCAACCUAGAUCUAUAAAAGAGGGGAGCAGAAGAAAACCUAUCCAAAGCCCUCACCAGCACACCUUAGAGCUCGGGGCCUCCAUGGGGGGAAUAUCCGUGCUGUCCUCUCCCCAACGCACAUUUGGGAGUUCCCCUGAGGAUGGUCACUGGGAAAGGCUGUCCUAGUAGCAAAGGGAGAGGUGGCUGGUUCCUCAGCUGGAGGAAAACGGCAUCUCACACCCACAGUGCCCUCCCUCUCUCCCCCUCAUCCACCUGGCUAGGCAACUUGCAGGCACUGCCAGCUCUCUUCUGCCCCCAGCCCUCUCAGCAAGGAAAGGGACCUCUGGUCGGAUUAGCAGGAGGUAGGGGAAGAGGGAGCAUAAAGAAAGGACAUUACUUCUUAACCUACCCCAGGCCCGUGCGUCCUUCAGGGAGAGUCACCCCAUCCCUCUUAAGAAGGGCUCUCUUCUACACAAACAUAGUCCCACCCAGAUCCCAGCCCCACUUCCCAAUAGCACCCAAUCCUUGGACUGAUAUCCCCAAGGAAGGAAGAGAUGCUGUGGGCCUAGGCUCCAGGACCUCGGCUGGGGUGAACAAGAUGGGGUCUCCCUGGCUGGAGACCCCAGGCUCAGUAGAGAAACACACACACACACAGAAACACACACAUACACAGGUACACAAAACAUGAACACACAUGUCCUAAUAUUAAAUAAAAUACCCUUUGCUUAUAACUUAAAAAAUCAAUACACAACUAAUCCUUGCACAGGGCUCUGGGUGGAGAAAGCAAGGCAGGGAAACGGGAGGUCGGGGGGAAUCUUAAGGCCUCUACUUGGAGCCUGGGAAAGCCCACUAGUUCCAGGCUCCUGUGGCCUGUCAGUCCCUGCCCCUAUCAGCUUUUUUCCUUUUGCCUGGCUCAGCCUCUUCUGGCUUCCCCCACUCCCCACGCUCCCCACUCCAGGAUUACCAACAGGAUGUAUUUCUAGCAUCUAAAGAGGGGAACAGGGACAGCUUCCUGGACAUCACCUCAGAAGGCAGGCCCCUUCCAGUGACAGGACAACUUCCUCAUAUGGAAGGGGAGCCCCACAAGAGAUGAGAUGGGGAGGAGCCUCCUAACACACUCUACAGGAGGGGCAAGGCUUUUAGGCAGCACGAAAGGGGAGCGUCGAGCUAAAGAAAGAGUGGGGCUUAGCUUCUCUGCAAGCAGAUGGCCAGGCAGGGACAGAGUCCUCCGCUCUGAGCAGGAACCGCUGGAGGUCCCUCUGCUGGGACACCCCCACCUACCCUCACCCAACCGAGGUAACCCUCUUCCUUCCAACCCUAAGGGGAGGGCAAAUGCCAGGCACCAAGGGUGAGGAACUACGUCAAUUCUGAAGCAAGGGCUCUUGGCUGUCUCGAAGGCCUGCCUGGGGUGACAGAUGAGAGUGGACUACUGAACUUUACUUUUAUAAAGACCAAGAGUUAAGGACUGAAUCAGAGUUAGAGAGGGAAGGGCUUAGUUCCACUCCCUGACCAAAUCCCUUUCUCUCAUUUUAGAGGAGACUUCCUUGCUCAACCUCCACAUCUAGCUCCCUCCUCCACCCCACAGUUCUGGCUGGAAGCUGUCGCCCAUUCUGGCCCUUUUCCCUUCUUCCCUCGUGGCUCCAUCAGACUGGGUCUGGAAGGCUUAAUAAGGAGGCACAUCAGAGACAUUAUUUCUGCGGUGACAAUCCUCCCAGCCAGAUAGAAACUCCUCCCUUAGGGGGACCCCCAGCCUCUGCCACCCCAUCUCAGCUCUCCCUCCGGAAACCCCGGGGUAAAGCACUCUAAGGGGGAUGAAAGGGACCCGGGCUGCAGCGCGGCUCCAGAGGCCCUUUUAUGUCCGGGUUCCCAGGCGCUAACGACGUGUCCAGACAGCUACCCGGAGCGCCCGGGGCGGCCCCACUCCUCUCUGCUCCGGGGACGCGCCGUAUCCUCCAACCUAUCCCCUCGGCCCUCCAGCCACCGUAGGGGUAGUCCGCCCCAACCCCCCAGCCCAGAGGCGUGAGUGAAAGAGCGAGGAAGGGGAGAACUGAUGGGCAUGCGCAGCUCCUCCCUGCCCAGUCAAACGCGUCCGUCCUGUCCAGCCCCAGAGACUAUGAAAUCCCUAGCGACCCGGCUCCCUGACCCCCGCACCACUUUCCCUCCCUCUCAAUAAAUAACCACCUUCUCUUACUCAAGCCACCCCCACAAGGGCAUCAGGCCAGAGGGCUCUCUUCUGAUGGCCCCAGGGGAGACCAACGGGGAGGCGGGACGGGGAGGCGGGACGAGGAGCUCAGUUGGAGGGAGCCGCACUGCCCUCGGCCUCGCGCUUGCCUUUGCCCCCGGGGGGCUCCGCUCCGCCGGCCUUGCCCUCUCCCGCCGCCGCCCCGGCAGCCUCCUCUUUGGCGCCCUCGUGGGUUUUCAUGUGUUUGGCCAGGUGGUCGCUGCGCAUGAAGACUCGGCUGCAGACUGCACAGGGGAACUUCUUGGUGCCGGUGUGGGUCUGGAGGUGGCGCUGCAGCUCGUCGGAGCGCGUGAAGCGCUUGCCGCAGAAGAGCCAGUUGCACACGAAGGGGCGGUCGCCGCUGUGCCAGCGCAGGUGUGCCUUCAGUCUAUUUCGUACAGCCCGAGCAGAACUUAGGCUGAUUCGUUUCCGCGGGUACAGCCCCGAUUCCACCACCGUUGGUUUACCUGUCCUGAAUACGAAGUGCGACUAUUAAACGGCUAAACUGAUCCACAAGCCACUUGAAAAUCGAUC